This 285-nucleotide unclassified non-coding RNA is filed under the name uncultured fungus. RNAcentral describes it as "partial contains small subunit ribosomal RNA, internal transcribed spacer 1, and 5.8S ribosomal RNA". The stretch from base 1 to 73 matches the Rfam family "Eukaryotic small subunit ribosomal RNA", at positions 1759 to 1831 of the family's 1831-position model. Lineage: Eukaryota; Fungi. The record is from RNAcentral.
UCAAACUUGGUCAUUUAGAGGAAGUAAAAGUCGUAACAAGGUUUCCGUAGGUGAACCUGCGGAAGGAUCAUUACAGAGAACUUGCCCGUCUGGGUAGAUCUCCCACCCUUUGUUUACUAUACCUUUGUUGCUUUGGCAAGCCUGUCUUGUGACUACUGGCCUCCAGCUAGUAAGUGCUUGCCAGAGGACCCCAAACACUUUACAUUGUGUUGUCUGAGUAGUACAGAAAUUUUUAAAACUUUCAACAACGGAUCUCUUGGUUCUGGCAUCGAUGAAGAACGCAGC